RNAcentral lists this long non-coding RNA (3145 nucleotides) under Mytilus galloprovincialis (Mediterranean mussel). The record is from RNAcentral. Lineage: Eukaryota; Metazoa; Mollusca; Bivalvia; Mytilida; Mytilidae.
UUGCCUUUUAACCACAGAUUCUUUAUUGAUGUAUAUCUAUCAACGAGUAACUAACACGUUAAAUUAUUUAUUUACUUUCAGAAUUAAAAACAUUAGUUAUCAGUCUUGUCUUAGGAAUUUCUGCUGCUGUCGGAAUUACGAUUUUCAUCAUAUUAAUCUCACUAAAAAUUAGUUCGCUGAAAAAAGUGAAAAAUAAAAGUACGGAUGACAUAUCAUCGGUCGUAAGUAAUUUUUUUUUAAAGAUUUAUGUUUUAAAUGUGUUUGAAGUUUGAUAAUUUUUUGAUUUUGAUUUUUUCAAUUUGUAUGGUUUCGUAUGUUUUGAUACAAAUAAAUAACGAGAAAAUAUUAUCUUAAACAUAUCUGUUUGUAUUGAUCACGAAAUUAACCUGUAAUUUCUACAAAUAUAAUAAAGUUGGUUCCAAUUUGUAACACGUUUACAUUACUCCAAUCUCUUUAAUUUGCAUUAAAAGUACAAAAAAGUACAGUUUGUCUGUUACUUUUAACAUAAAUUUAUUUUGAUAUAUUAUAUUUUGAAAAAGCAUUUCUAUUGCAAAGUUAUCGAGAAAUUGCAAAGUUUUGUGAAAAAGACGAGAUCCGACUUAGUACGAAUAUCAAUUUAUUUACAUAUUCACCAUUUUUUUUACAGAAGAAACAUCAUAAAGCAUGGACAUAGAUAAAAUCUUAGGACACUACGUUACAUACAAUUCAAUGUGUGUGAUACAACUAAUGGUAAAGGGCAUUCAUGGCAGCUGAUUAAGAGGAUUAAUCCAACUGAUAUCAGAGCAAAAAUAUCAAAACACUGAAUCAGUUUUUUUUUACAAUUGUUAUAUCAACUCUUCCUUUAUGUAAUAUUUGCACCGAUGCACUAUUAUUUUAACUAAUUUGUUUUCAUAAACGCUUUGAUUUUUGUAAAACAACUCUUUACCCAACUAUACUAAUCUUCUAAUAAAUGAAGUAAUGUGUGCUUAAGUUUCAAUAAAAAUAAUGUCCACUACAUGCAUUUACAAAGAGAGAGAGAGAGAGAGAGAGAGAGAGAGAGAGAGAGAGAGAGAGAGAGAGAGAGAGUAAUGUUCAAACCGGAUACGGAAUGGCCCUUACCGAUUCCGAAAUGAUACAGAUACAAAUAUGUGAAUUAGCAAUCAUUGUUAACAACGAAAGUAAGAUAUACAACACAUUACUAAAGACAAACACAUGACAUUGGAUAUACAUAAUGUAUCAAUGUGGAUACUUGAAAAUUCAAAAGAUCUUUUAGAGUACAUACAAUCUAACUCUCUUUCAUCUUGUAAUAGUAUUAAAACAUUUGACUUUUCUACACUUUAUACAAGUAUUCCACAUUCCAAUCUAAAAGACAAAUUGAAAGAGUUGGUAUUGCUUUGUUUCAUAAAAAAGAAUGGCCAACGAAGAUACAAGUAUCUUGUCAUAGGAAAGGAUAAAUCCUACUUUGUAAAGAAUCACUCUGAUUCAAACAAAAAGUUAUCUGAAACUGACAUUAUCAAGAUGCUUGAUUUCUUGAUUGACAACAUAUUUGUUACGUACGGAGGACCUGUUUUUCAAAAGACUAUCGGCAUUCCAAUGGGAACGAAUUAUUGCCGACUUAUUUAUUAUUAUUAUGAGGCUGACUUUCAUACAGGAACUUCUUAGGAAGAAAUAUAAGAAGUAAGAAAUAUCCUUUAACUCUUCUUUCCGCUAUAAAGAUGAUAUUUUUCCACUAAAUACUUCAAAAUUUGGUGACUAUGUCGAAUGCAUCUAUCCUAUUGAACUAGAGAUAAAGGGUACAAGAGAUACAGUUAAGUCGGCCUCAUAUCUUGACUUACAUCUAGAAAUUGACAACGAGGGUCGAUUGAAAACAAAACUUUACGACAAAAGAGAUAAUUUCAGCUUUUCAAUUGUGAACUUUCCAUUUCUAAGUAGCAACAUUCCAGCAUCACCUGCAUACAGUGUAUAUAUCUCUCAAUUGAUACGAUAUUCCCGUGCUUGCAUUUCCUAUCAUGAUUUUCUUGAUAGAGGGUUGUUGCUCACAAGGAGGCUAUUAAAUCAAGAAUUCCAAAUGGUGAAGUUUAAAUCAUCUCUUCGUAAAUUUUACGGACGCCAUCACGAGUUGGUUGACCGUUAUGGAAUAACGUUUCACAAAUGAUAUCGGAUAUGUUCCAAACGUCGUAACUACAGUCCCCUUCCUUUUCAUGAAUGUGACUUCCCGAAUUAGACUAUUUACCGGAUUUGUUAUCUCAUAAGCAACACGACGGGUGCCACAUGUGGAGCAGGAUCUGCUUACCCUUCCGGAGCACCUGAGAUCACCCCUAGUUUUUGGUGUGGUAGAUAUUGUUUAUUCUUUAGUUUUCUAUGUUAUUUCAUGUGAACUAUUGUUUGUCUGUUUGUCCUUUUCAUUUUUAGCCAUGGCGUUGUCUGUUAAUUGUCGAUUUAUGAGUUUGACUGUCUCACUGGUAUCUUUGGUCCCUCUUUUAUGACAAAAGAGUUUAGUGAUCAAACACUCCCUCUGCCUGGUCUUUUUCGCGUGUAAGAUAUAAGUUACGCACGUGCAUGAUCACAUUAAUUGAAAUACAAAAAAAACACUAUUAUGGUAAAAGUUCAUUAUUCUGUUUUAAAUUUGCGGGAAAAUUAACCUUGCAGAUUACGUAUUACAAACCUGUAACCUGCAAACUGAAAAAAAUAGAACAUUACAGUUAGUUGUUCAUAACUAAAUGUCAUUUCAUUGUACAUUAUGAACAUGAAACAGUGCUCAAAUGAGCUCCAUACGAGCACUUUUCUCACCAUUUUUGUGACAUGUGUACGUAAAUUUAGUUUAAAACAGUUUUAUUUACAAAAAAAUUGUAAUUACUGUUUAUUAUAUACAUUUUAGUUAUAUACACCACUUGUAUUUGUACAUAUUAUUGGUAUAGAUAUGCGUUUACAAUUAAUGAUUAUGCUGUUGAACGAAUCUGAACUUAAAAGAGUGAUGUCUUUUUUUGUAAAAUAACAGGAUAAUUUAAAUGUUUAAUUUUAUAUCUAUGUUGUGAAUGUUUUAUUCAAUGAAAAAAAUGACAUACUGCUUUGCAAUAUAUAAGACUGUGAUAUAGAAUGUUUGUGUAUUUUGCUCAUUCUUUGUAUGAUAGAUUUGUAAAUAUAGAUUACAGGACCGAUAUUAACG